UACGUAGGGAGCAAGCGUUGUCCGGAUUUACUGGGUGUAAAGGGUGCGUAGGCGGCUUUGCAAGUCAGAAGUGAAAUCCAUGGGCUUAACCCAUGAACUGCUUUUGAAACUGCAGAGCUUGAGUGGAGUAGAGGUAGGCGGAAUUCCCGGUGUAGCGGUGAAAUGCGUAGAGAUCGGGAGGAACGCCAGUGGCGAAGGCGGCCUGCUGGGCUCUAACUGACGCUGAGGCACGAAAGCGUGGGUAGCAAACAGG
This 253-nucleotide ribosomal RNA is filed under the name uncultured bacterium. RNAcentral describes it as "partial 16S ribosomal RNA". It matches the Rfam family "Bacterial small subunit ribosomal RNA", at positions 524 to 776 of the family's 1533-position model. The record is from RNAcentral.